CAUCCACACUGUGUGUGUGUAUUUUCUGACUUGUGCUCAGUGAGUGCCUACGUGUGUGUUUGACAAUGUGUGUGUCCUGUUUGUAUAUUCAUGUGUUCUCUGUGUGUGUGCCCAAUCAGCUGUGCGAGGAAACACACCCACUUCACUCUCUUACCGGCCCCGCUCCUCCUGAUUGGCUGCCGUGCAUCGGACACACCGCUCCCCCAUUGGCCGGCAAACGAGGAGGCGGCAGUUUGUUGCUGUUGCUAAGAUCCUGUUGCUACGUUCCCGACUGUUGCUAGGAAACAUGUGAUGCAUUAUGGAUGGUUGGAUUUCUCAUGGAGGAGCGAAUCUGAAAUGCUGAUGACUGGACUCUCACUCAUCACUAUCAUUUUCUAUCACACUUUCUCACUCUCAGUUUUCAUCAUUCUGCCUCUAUCAUUUUGUCACUAAUUCAAAAUUGCUUUAAUGGCAUAAUGACCAUAAUUAGUACAGUACUGCCAAAGCAGUUUGUACAAGGUUUACAAUUUUGAGGACUAUUCGGAUGGGAUUAAUAUUACAGGGGGAGGUAGGUAUUCAAAUAUUUGCUCUGCCCUUAAACCCGAACAGCAUUUUAGCCAUUGGCAAAUUACAGGCGCUGGUUCUGUAUACAAGGAUACUCAUUCUCAGGAGACAUUUGCAGUAGCAGUAGCCCGCUGUAGAUUCCUCCUGUACAACAUCAGGAGGAUUUGUCCCAUUCUCACUUGGGAGGUGGCCCAGGUGCUUAUCCAGUCACUUGUUAUCUCCACCCCUGGACAACUGCAACUUCUUCCUUCUGGGGCACCUGCGUCUGCCACCACCCGUCUACAACUAAUCCAUAAGGCUGCUUCCUGUCUGGUGUUCAACCUCCCAAAGCUUUUCACACAGCACCCCAUCUCUCUGUUCACUACAGAGGUUCCCUGCUGCAGCUCGGAUCCGGUUCAUGACCCUGGUGCUGGCCUGCAGGGCAGUGAAGGGAACUGUUCCUUCAUACCUCCAAGCUGUUGUAACACCCAAACUCAUUCCUCAUUCCUCGCACCAUCACUCCUUGGACCUUAUGUUCGUUCAUCUCAGUCAAGGCUCUUCUCUGUACUAGCCCCAUAAUGACAAACAAUGUAUUUUGUCGUUUUGUUUGGAGGACUUUUAGAUUAUGGAAGGACCAACAAGUGAGCCAAAAAAGACUUAUUCUUCGCUCCCAGCUCAGCGCUCCUCUCCUCCACUGCCAACGCCACCGGAGCGAGACAGAUACAGGAGGAAGUUGGCCGAGAAAUGACAUCGAUGGAAAGUUCUGCUCGCUGGUGAAACUCUGAGCUCAGACCUUUAGCAAACACAGGGUACCCAUGUUACUGUGGGACAGUAGAUUUGAGCUGGCCAAUGAAUUGAGGAGGUCACAUCUGUCUUCACACCCACAACCUUAAAGCUGGCCCAGAUAUUAUCUGGAGGAAAAAAUUAUUAAUCAGCCACUUCCAGUCACAGACUUCCAAUCAUACCCUUGAAAAGUUGCAACCCUGUCUCCUAAACAUUGUGUCAUUCAAAUUAGCAUGUCCUGUCUUGAGCGUCAAGUCAGUGCUUUUUCAACAUUUAACCGAGACUGCAACCUUUUCCUAUCUUUAAUCAAGUGUUUUAUUAUGCUAAACCUAACUACCCCUGGGACAUGGGACGCAUACUCCAGCCUCUGGUGACAAAGUCAUAUGCUUGCUACACCUGGCUUUACCCUGUCCUCUACCCUAUAUGACUUUUCCCCGAGUUUAAAAACAUCCCAUUUCUGCAAGGAGAACGAUCCAAGUACAUAUGCUUAUUAUUUUUAUAUAUGCUUGUUGCAAGUAAUUGGGAAGGAAAAGUGCACAGAAGUAAUGUAAUCAUCCUAUAGACAUUAGGUUUACACAGGAAUCUUCUGUGUACAGUGUAUUUGAUCUAGCUGACAGUUAUCUGUUUGCUGUGCUUUCUAUGCUAAGAGAGGACAGCAGAGAAACUGUCUGUACCACAUUCAGGAGGCAGAAUUGAUUUUGUACUGACAAUGAUAUCAGUGUCUAGCCUGAUACUCUAACUGAAUUGCCAUUUUGUUCCACUUUAUUCAUUCAGCCUGACAUCAUGUUAAUGUUAGCUGGGGGGGGUAUGUUUUUUGGUUUUACCUGCUUGAGUAUUUAACGUUUUACAUACAAAAACCAAAGUGUAAAAAACAGAAUAUGUCAAUUUACAGGGGGUUGUGCACCAGACUCCAGGAAGUUACUAGUCACUUUCUCAUCUUGCAUAUAUUCAGCCUGCUAUACUGCAGUUCUUGGCAGAUAUGUCGUUCUCUGUCUCCUGCCCAGGGACUACAGAUGAAAAUUAGCUUAUAGCUAACUCUGGUACAACUAAGAAGCUGUGCAUUGUCCCUGUCCAAUAAACAAAUAAAUAAAAUAAUAAAUGUUUUGA
Siniperca chuatsi (mandarin fish) is the source of this 2412-nucleotide long non-coding RNA. RefSeq lists it as uncharacterized. The record is from RefSeq and is a predicted model, not a curated record. The transcript is spliced from 2 exons. Lineage: Eukaryota; Metazoa; Chordata; Actinopteri; Centrarchiformes; Sinipercidae.